This 806-nucleotide ribosomal RNA is filed under the name uncultured bacterium. RNAcentral describes it as "bacterial SSU rRNA". It matches the Rfam family "Bacterial small subunit ribosomal RNA", at positions 8 to 796 of the family's 1533-position model. The record is from RNAcentral.
AGAGUUUGAUCAUGGCUCAGGAUGAACGCUGGCGGCGUGCCUAAUACAUGCAAGUCGAGCGAACGGACGAGAAGCUUGCUUCUCUGAUGUUAGCGGCGGACGGGUGAGUAACACGUGGAUAACCUACCUAUAAGACUGGGAUAACUUCGGGAAACCGGAGCUAAUACCAGAUAAUAUUUUGAACCGCAUGGUUCAAAAGUGAAAGACGGUCUUGCUGUCACUUAUAGAUGGAUCCGCGCUGCAUUAGCUAGUUGGUAAGGUAACGGCUUACCAAGGCAACGAUGCAUAGCCGACCUGAGAGGGUGAUCGGCCACACUGGAACUGAGACACGGUCCAGACUCCUACGGGAGGCAGCAGUAGGGAAUCUUCCGCAAUGGGCGAAAGCCUGACGGAGCAACGCCGCGUGAGUGAUGAAGGUCUUCGGAUCGUAAAACUCUGUUAUUAGGGAAGAACAUAUGUGUAAGUAACUGUGCACAUCUUGACGGUACCUAAUCAGAAAGCCACGGCUAACUACGUGCCAGCAGCCGCGGUAAUACGUAGGUGGCAAGCGUUAUUCGGAAUUAUUGGGCGUAAAGCGCCCGUAGGCGGUUUUUUAAGUCUGAUGUGAAAGCCCACGGCUCAACCGUGGAGGGUCAUUGGAAACUGGAAAACUUGAGUGCAGAAGAGGAAAGUGGAAUUCCAUGUGUAGCGGUGAAAUGCGCAGAGAUAUGGAGGAACACCAGUGGCGAAGGCGACUUUCUGGUCUGUAACUGACGCUGAUGUGCGAAAGCGUGGGGAUCAAACAGGAUUAGAUACCCUGGUAGUCC